GGGAGUCACUUUAAAGGCUCUUUCUUACCCAUAAUGCUUUGUGGGGACGUUGACAAGUGGAUCCAAGAUGGCGUAGAAAGUAAUGACAGGAAUUGGAUGAAGUAAUUGAUCACUAAUGAACUACAGAGCCGGUGAGAUGUACAAGAAAUUAUAAAGAGCUCUGAUGGGCGAUUUGGGUGAUACGCAGUGCAGUGAACUGCAGGAUUUUUGUCCCUGAGUCAUGGAAGACAGAAGAGCUGAAAGGUCAUGUGAACAAGCGUGCGCGUCACUGCAGAGGCAGGACUAUGACAUGGCCCUCCAGCAUUGCACAGACGCCCUGCUCUCUCUUGGCCAGUACUCCAUGACAGACUUCGCAGGGCCGUGCCCAGUGGAGAUUGAGCGCAUCAAAAUCGAGAGUCUUCUGUACAGAAUUGCCUCAUUCUUGCAGUUGAAAAACUACGGGCAAGCUGAUGAAGAUUGUAGGCAUGUGCUGGGGGAAGGACUGGCCAAGGGAGAGAGCGCCUUCCGGGCAGUGCUGUGCUGCAUGCAGCUGAAGGGGAAGCUCCAGCCUGUGUCCUCCAUCCUUGCCCAGUCACUGUCAGGGGAGUCUCUGAAUGGGAUGGUAACGAAGGAUUUGACAAGACUCAAGACACUUCUCGCAGAGACAGAGACAGCAACAAGUAAUGCCCCCUCUGGCUGUCAUGUGGAAGACUUAGAUGAAGGGUCUUGUAAUGGUUGGCAUUUCCGCCCACCGCCCAGGGGGAUCACCAGCAGUGAGGAGUACACCUUGUGUAAAAGGUUUUUAGAGCAAGGGAUCUGUAGGUACGGUGCCCAGUGUACUUCAGCACAUUCCCAGGAAGAACUAGCAGAAUGGCAGAAGAGAUAUGCCUCGCGGCUGAUAAAACUGAAGCAGCAGAGUGAGAACAAACAGCUCUCAGGCAGCUACAUGGAGACCUUGAUAGAAAAGUGGAUGAGCUCACUGUCCCCUGAGAAAGUGCUUAGCGAAUGCCUAGAGGGAGUCCAGGUGGAGCACAGCCCUGACCUGUCAGUCACCGUCAACACCAAAAAGUCCCACCAGACAUGGACCUUUGCUCUGACCUGUAAGCCUGCAAGAAUGCUGUGUCGGGUAGCCUUGCUCUAUGAUGCUCAUCGUCCUCAUUUUAGUAUCAUUGCCAUAUCUGCCGGAGAUAGUACUGCCCAGGUAUCACAAGAAGUCCCCGAGAACUGUCAAGAAUGGAUAGGAGGAGAGAUGGCCCAAAAUGGAUUAGAUCAUUACGUGUAUAAAGUCGGGAUAGCAUUUAACACAGAAAUAUUUGGAACUUUUCGCCAAACCAUAGUUUUCGACUUUGGAUUGGAGCCAGUACUCAUGCAAAGAGUAAUGAUUGACGCAGCUUCUACAGAAGAUCUUGAGUACCUGAUGCAUGCCAAGCAGCAGCUGGUAACCACAGCCAGGCGCUGGGAGCCUUCCUCCAAGACUAUUGUAGACUUUGAACCUAACGAGACUACUGAUUGGGAGAAGAGCCUUUUGAUCAGAUACCAAAUUCCUCUCUCUGCUGACCAGCUGUUUACACAGUCCGUUUUAGACAAAUCCUUGACCAAGACUAACUAUCAGUCACGGCUACACGACCUGCUUUAUAUUGAGGAGAUAGCCCAGUAUAAAGAAGUCAGCAGGUUAAAUGGAAUAGAACCUGUUAAAGUACCUAUUUGUGUUCACUGUGCAAAGUUCAACCUUAAGGUGCAGCUGCAGAUCUUAGCAAGCUUCAUGCUCACUGGAGUUUCUGGGGGUGCAAAGUAUGCUCAGAAUGGACAACUUUUUGGUCGUUUUAAACUUACUGAAACCCUGUCUGAAGACACUUUGGCUGGACGACUGGUGAUGACCAGGGUCAAUGCUGUUUAUUUAUUACCAGUCCCUAAAGAGAAGCUCGUCCAGUCCCAGGGAACCAAAGAGAAGGUUUAUGAAGCUACUAUUGAAGAAAAAACAAAAGACUAUGUAUUUUUAAGGAUAUCCAGGGAAUGCUGUGAAGAGCUCAGUCUGCGGCCUGACUGUGACACCCAGGUUGAGCUUCAGUUUCAGUUGAACCGAUUACCCCUCUGUGAAAUGCAUUAUGCACUAGACAGGAUUAAGGACAAUGGUGUUUUGUUUCCAGACAUCAGUAUGACUCCCACUAUACCUUGGAGUCCCAACAGACAGUGGGAUGAGCAGUUGGAUCCUCGACUAAAUGCAAAGCAGAAAGAAGCUGUGCUGGCCAUCACCACUCCGCUCUGCAUCCAGCUGCCCCCCGUUCUUAUCAUUGGACCCUACGGGACGGGUAAAACCUUCACUCUGGCUCAGGCCGUCAAGCACAUACUGCAGCAGCAGGAGACGAGCAGGAUUCUCAUUUGCACCCAUUCUAAUAGUGCUGCUGACCUCUACAUAAAGGAUUAUUUACAUCCCUAUGUAGAAGCAGGCAAUGCCCAGGCAAGACCUCUCAGGGUGUAUUUCCGAAAUCGCUGGGUGAAGACUGUUCACCCGGUUGUGCAUCAGUACUGUUUGAUCUCAAGCGCACACUCCACCUUUCAGAUGCCCCAGAAGGAAGAUAUUCUUAAACAUCGAGUGGUGGUGGUCACACUGAACACUUCCCAGUACCUCUGCCAGCUGGACCUUGAACCUGGGUUCUUCACGCACAUUCUGUUAGAUGAAGCUGCCCAGGCCAUGGAGUGUGAGACCAUUAUGCCUCUAGCCUUAGCAACUAAAAACACACGGAUUGUUUUGGCUGGUGACCAUAUGCAGCUCAGUCCUUUUGUUUACAGCGAGUUUGCCAGGGAGAGAAACCUUCAUGUUUCAUUACUUGAUCGACUCUACGAGCAUUACCCUGCCGAGUUUCCAUGCAGGAUCCUCCUCUGUGAGAACUAUCGCUCCCAUGAAGCUAUCAUCAACUAUACCUCUGAGCUCUUCUAUGAGGGUAAACUGAUGGCCAGUGGAAAGCAGCCAGCACACAAGGACUUCUACCCACUGACGUUCUUUACAGCACGAGGGGAGGACGUCCAAGAGAAGAACAGCACGGCAUUCUAUAACAAUGCAGAGGUAUUUGAAGUGGUGGAGCGUGUGGAAGAGCUAAGACGGAAGUGGCCAGUGGCAUGGGGGAAGUUAGACGACGGCAGCAUUGGUGUGGUGACACCAUACGCUGAUCAGGUGUUCAGAAUACGAGCUGAACUUCGGAAGAAGAGGCUCUCGGACGUGAAUGUAGAAAGGGUGCUCAAUGUCCAAGGAAAGCAAUUCAGAGUUCUGUUUCUUAGCACAGUGCGUACACGCCACACUUGCAAGCAUAAGCAGACGCCAAUUAAAAAGAAAGAGCAACUUCUGGAAGACUCCACCGAGGACUUAGAUUACGGGUUUCUAUCCAACUACAAACUUCUCAAUACCGCCAUUACCAGAGCACAGUCCCUGGUUGCUGUGGUGGGCGACCCCGUUGCUCUGUGCUCUAUUGGAAGGUGUAGAAAGUUUUGGGAGCGGUUUAUUGCCCUGUGUCAUGAAAACCACAGCUUGCACGGGAUCACAUUCGAACAGAUCAAGGCCCAGUUAGAGGCUUUAGAGCUCAAGAAGACUUACGUGUUGAACCCACUGGCUCCUGAAUUUAUUCCCCGGGCUUUCAGACUGCAGCAUUCAGGAAACAGUAGCAGACAGCAGCAGUCACCACCCAAGGUGAAAAGCCUCCAUCAUCCCCAGAAUGACCAUUUCCAGAAUGAUGGAAUUGUUCAGCCCAACCCUUCCGUACUUAUUGGCAAUCCUAUUAGAGCAUAUACUCCUCCACCCCCUCUUGGACCGCACCCAAACUUGGGGAAAUCUCCAAGCCCCGUUCAAAGAAUAGACCCUCACACUGGGACUAGUAUUCUUUACGUUCCUGCUGUCUAUGGAGGGAAUGUAGUUAUGUCGGUGCCUUUACCUGUGCCGUGGACAGGGUACCAGGGUAGGUUUGCAGUUGAUCCUCGGAUUAUUACACACCAGGCAGCGAUGGCCUACAAUAUGAAUUUGUUACACACACAUGGGCGUGGGUCGCCAAUCCCUUAUGGUCUUGGACAUCACCCACCUGUCAACCUAGGCCAGCCACAGAAUCAGCACGCAGAGAAGGAUCAACAGGAGCAAAAUCGAAACGGUAAAACUGAUACAAAUAACCCAGGACCUGAAAUUAAUAAGAUCCGAACACCAGAGAAAAAACCUACAGAACCCAAACAGAUUGAUUUGGAAUCAAAUCCACAGAACAGAAGUCCUGAAUCCCGUCCUGGUGUUGUUUAUUCCAAUACUAAAUUUCCUCGAAAAGAUAAUCUCAACCCAAGACACAUAAAUCUUCCUCUUCCUGCGCCACAUACACAGUAUGCAAUCCCUAGCCGCCAUUUUCAUCCGCUUCCUCAGCUACCCAGGCCACCAUUUCCCAUUUCCCAGCAGCACACCUUAUUAAAUCAGCAGCAGAAUAAUUUGCCUGAACAACCAAAUCAGAUGACACCUCAGCCAAAUCAGGUGGCACCCCAGCCAAAUCAGAUGGCACCCCAGCCAAAUCAGAUGGCACCCCAGCCAAAUCAGGUGGUCCAGCAGCAGAACCAGGCACCUCCACAGGCUCCACAGCCAGCACCUCAACUCUCUCCUGCAUUUCAGGCGGGGCCCACCAAUGCAUUUUUCAAUAAUGCAGUUGCUCAUCGACCACAGUCUCCUGCUGCAGAGGCUGUGGGUCCUGAGCAGCAGGUGCCUCCUGGGCUGUCCGACGGCCACAGUCCACUGAGAGCCAUCACACAGCCUGGCCCCAUCCUAGCAUCACCUUUGAACAACUUUGUUGAUGAGAGCUCUCCAGGAUUGCCUAUAGAAGAAGCUUUGGAUCGAGUGCAUGGAAGUGUAGCUCUGGAGACACUGAGGCAGCAGCAGGCACGGCUACAGCAGUGGAGUGAGCACCAUGCCUACCUGAGCCAGGGUGGCAUCCCGUAUUCACACCAUCACCAUCCUCACCUCGCCCAUCUUCCCCAGACUCCCAUUAGCCUCCACCAGCCACCAGUGAGAGCAGAGUGGAAAGUCGCCGGCAGGGCUGACGAUGAAACAGAGACAACAUUCUCAAGGUUUCAAGACUUACUCAGAGAGCUGUCCCAUCGGGAUCAAGGUGACACUGGAGAGCUAGCUGAAAUGCCACCGCCUCAGUCAAGACUUCUGCAGUACAGACAAGUGCAGCCUCGAAGCCCACCAGCAGUCCCGUCGCCCCCUUCCUCUACAGACCACAGUAGCCACUUUGCUAACUUUAAUGACAACAGCAGAGACAUCGAAGUAGCCAACAGCCCAGCAUUCCCACAGCGCCUCCCACCUCAGCUAUUCGGCCCCCCUUAUUCGUUGCAAUCUGAACACCUUGCCCCUCCCCCUCUGAAAUACCUGGCUCCGGAAGGAGCAUGGAAUUUUGCUAACUUGCAGCAGAAUCAUUUAAUAGGGCCGGGCUUUCCCUAUGGCCUACCUCCAUUGCCUCCCCGGCCACCACAGAACCCUUUUAUACACAUCCAGAACCAUCAACACGCUGUUGGUCAAGAGCCAUUUCACCCACUGCCAUCUCGAGCAGUGUCUUCUUCUUCGCUCCCCAGCCUAGAAGAGGUAAACAUCCAAUGCUCUUCUAUCUUGGGCUUAUCUGUCUGUGAGCAAACGCUGCCCCUGUUUAUCCUAUUUACCCACUUGAUAAAAGGAGGUUUCAUCAGACAGAGCAUCUUUAAAAAAUAAUCCUUUCUGAAAAAUACUUAUCUUUCUGUGCUGUUUCAGCUUUUGUGUGUGGUAUUGUUGAACAUGAAGCCUCUUAAAAAUAUUUUAUCGCUGUUUUGGCAUGCUUUACAUCAGAGGACUCUAUAUAGUAGCCUUUCUAAUCUCUGGGCAUGGAUAGACCUUGGUGGCUUAUCUUUUAUUAGGUUGAUCUUGCUAACUAGUACUUUUUAACUAGUGCUGCUUUUUCCAGUGAGUGUCAGUUCCAAGUGCUGGUUCUUCCUCUAUCAUUCUGAGCUUUUAGUUGAAUGUUAUUUAUGAAGUCGUAAGCACCUAGUCAGGCCAGUUUCCAAAUGCCAGAACAUUCUGUCAGUUAACAUAAGGCUGCUAAGACGGCAUCAGGAGAUAGAUGCAGCUUUCACCACAAGAUUCUCAGCUGCUCAUGCACAGCUGCACUGAUGUGGAACUUUUAGUGAUUUCAGGGGUUAACGUUUCCAAAAUAGGGCUGGAAGGCUCAGCACAGAACACCUCUGGGUACCCUUCCAGAAGACCUGGGCACUUCGCAGCACCUACGUGGUGACUCAUAACCUUCUGUAUGUAAUUCUAGUUUCAAGGGAGCUGGCACUUCUUCUGGAUUCUUUGGACAUCUGCAGGCAAAACAUGCAUACAUAUAAGUAAACAAGUUUCCCAGCUGUAUACUGUGUAGACUGUUAACUGUCUAGCUGUUCCCAGUUAGCUUACAGGGACUAAGAGUCAGACUGUGUAAAGGGAAUGGUAGUUAAUUGUUAGAGGUGUUUGUCUGAGACAGGGCUCAGUAUGUGGCCUAAACUGGUCUUCUAUUCAAGUCCUCUGAUCUUGGCCUCCCACACUUGGAUUGCAGGCAUAUACCCCCAUACCCGGCAAUUGAGGGACCUGAAUGAAAUGUCUUUCUUUGAAACAGGGACUCAGUGUGAGCUCAAAAUGGCCUUGAACCAGUAAUUGUCCUACUUGAGCUCCAGGAUUACAGACUUGAGCCACACGGCCAGUAAACAGAUCUGAUACAAUCUUCCAGUGAGCUGUGAGGAGAGUCAAUCAAAUCAGUUCUGUGAGAAUGAGGCCUCUUCUGCUUCCCCUGGCUGAAAGGGCUGAUAUUCAGGGCUGCCACAGAGCUGGAGAACAGAGAAUAUGACCCUUACCACAGAAUUUGUUGUUUUUAUGAAAUUCUCUGGUUUUUCUUGACUCAAUGUUCUCAUAGAAGCUACAGGCUUUAGUUUCUUAGUGCAAAGGGCCGUUUGCCACAGUUGGCAGUGUUUGUUGUUUUAAGGAGUCGCACUGAGCUGCUCUCCCGGUCCCUCUCCUCUCUUGCUGGAUGCACUCCUGGCAGUUGUGUGGGCCGUGUUGCAGCUCUCACAGGCCUCACAGCUUAUGCUUUGCAGGGAGCACUUCACACACUGAAGUCGUCUACUUUAAUCACUGAUCUUUUUAAGUGGUCCAUGAUUUGGGAAUUUAAGUUCUUUGUACUCUGAUGCUUUCAGUGUUUGGUUUCUUUGUGUCACUGUGAGCAUAUAAAUAUGCGUCUUCACUUGUCACUGACUUCAUUUGCUUUGCAAAACACUUGGUCAUUUCUUCUUACACCGGGUUCCCGAGCGAUGACUAAGCUGCAGCAAUUGAAGAAAUUCUUUGACAAGGAAAGCAUUAUUUUUACCACAUUGUAGAUUUUUGGCAUUUUCAAUGUAUUAGGGUAAGUUCUUUGUAUUCAAAGUGAUUUCGCAUGAAGCAUUUCUCACAAUGAAUGACAUAUGCUCAUACUGUUUAUUUCCAACCAUUUAAAGCAAUUUCUUUAACAAUUCAGAGAAAGUUGCUUUCUUCCCAGUUGGAUUCUUUUAUUCCAAGAAUCCUUGGCAGAUUAAUCUCAUGCGAUGAAAGUGCUUAGAUGUUAGCAUAACGCUUCCCUCGAGUGGAGAGCUGUCUUCAUCCCUUCACUCCUAGUUGGAACCUCACCACUAGCUAGACGGAGCGUUCUUGUGGAACAACAGAGUGCUCACAUAGCACUGCGCUGUGCCCCCGUUUCAGGGAAGAGCAAAUGCAGUCAGCAGAACUCCAGUAUUAGCUGGCCGGCCUCCAAGGGCGAGUUUUGGUUUUCCAGGCUGGAGACACUGCUGGUGGUUAAGGGCACUUACUGUUCUUGCAGAGGACCGGGUUCUGUACUCAGCGCCCAGAAGUGGAGCCCCAGAGGACCAGACACCCUCUUCUGGUCUCUGCAGGCUCCUGCGAGCACGCGGAGCACAUGUACUCGUGCAGGCUUACUAAACCUGUACACAGAAUGAUUGAUUUGGACGGCUGAUUUUGAUAUUGUGAAAAUGUUCAUUUUGCAUGAUGACUGUAUGGCCUCACCUCUGAGGAAGAAGCGACUCUCCAGGGUAUCCUGUAGUGAAGUCACUUUCUGGACUUGGCGCUUAUUUUUCUCCUUCAGUCUCUGUUCUGUACCAGAGUGACACUCUCAAUUCAGACGAGGCUUAAUGCUGUAACCAACACUGUGAACCUAGAGAUAGUAUGAAGCUUCUGACCUCUUCCUCUUCCUGUUCUGUAUGUGUGGAAGGAAGAGGAGGUGGCCAUUUCGAGAGUUUCCUACUAGAAGUUUAGAAUAUCGUCAAUUCUUUCUCUUCUGUAUAUGCCUCUAAAGCCUACUUUUGAUUUCUCUUUGAAGUAUAUCAAACUUAUAGCUUAAAUUGGAAGGAAUUUUAUCACUGACAUUCUUUGAGGUGCUCCUUUAGGAAACAGUCUGAGCUCCUAUGUGUUAAUUGUUCUCCCUCUCUCUGCUCCCUACCGUUCAUUUUGUGUGUUUCUCUUUAAAAUCUCUAGUGUCGUCAUUUCUGGCUCCCUGGGUUGUUGUUUUGUCUCAAGCUCUGUUCAUUGUUAUGAAUGCAAGCUUCUCCCAUUAUACCUUCCAGGCAUUUCAUCCUGAAAGACAAAUCCUCAUUCUCCUUAAGUGGCCGUAGAUUUGUCAAGUUAAGAAUUUCCGUUUACCACAGACUUGCAGUGCUGACACUGGCACAAAGCGCGCUCCUCCAUCUCAGAUGCUCUUCAGUCUGAAAUAGUCUGAUUAAAGAAAUAAAUGGAGAAAAUGAAAAAUGCUCUUCAGAUUGUCACUGCACCAGUCAGAACUGGUUUCUGGAAUUGCACAUUUUUGUUUGCAGUGAGAUAUUAUCAUAAAAGCCUCGUGAGAGAAUUGGAUCCCUGCUAGGGGUUUGGCUGGUGGUCAGGCACUUGCUCAGCAUGCUUAAGACUGCUCAGUUCUCCAGUUCUGGUGGGAGUGGGUGGCUGCCCAUUCUGGUCAGUGGUCAGUCAGUCAGUGUUAGAGUUGACGACGCCUCUGCUCUGGCCCUGCUGUGAAACACUUCUUGUUUUAGAUCCUGGCUUUUGAACUUUGCUUAUUUUCAUUUUUCUCUUAAGCACUUGUGGUUGCGCAUUCAUUAGUUUAGAUCUCACUGUGUUCUCUGGCCGUGUUUGCUCCUGGGUCCCCCUUGGAGCCAAGUGUCCUGCGGGAAGGCUAUCAUCCUGACCAAGGGCUGGGAGAGCUCGCUUCUUCUCACUGUCGAUGUACAUAUUGAUGGCUUGUGAUUUGUGUUGUGGAACCAGUUGGAAAUAUUGUUGUCUUCUUGGCUAGUAAACCUCCUAGAACAAGGAACAGUGAUCAACAGAUCAGUAAGCUAGACCACUCUUCGUUCCAAUUUGUCAAAGGUAAUCACUGAGAUGAGCCAUUGGGCUUUACUUAAAGUUCCCAACACCAUAAUAUGAGUUGAGAUUCCCAUUAGAGCACUUAGUUUUACCUUAGUGAUUGGCCUUGGGAGCAUAAUUAUAAAUAUAGAAGUUUUCAUAAUAUGCUAACCUUUCCCCCAGUUGUUUAUUUAAAUGCAUUCGUAUGAAAAGAUUUGCUAACCUUAACAUUGCAGCUAUGUCUUAGAGUAGCGAGCAAGCUAGGAAUUUUACUUAAAUUGACAACUAUAUUAAUACAAAUUUGUACACAAAUUUAGUAACUUUCUUACGUAGAGUUCCUAUAUUAACUAUAGUUCAUACAUUCAUGUUUUUGAAAUGUUAGUAUUACAGCUUACUAUUUAUAAAGAAAUACUAACAGUACAAAUUUAAAGUAAAACCAUAUGUUUGGUGACAUAAUGAUGUCAUAGUUCCACCUCGGAGAAUUUUUAAAAAAGAUUUUAUUUUGUGUUUGUGAGUGGUUGCCUGUGAUUAUGUAUGUGCAACAUGUGUGUGUCUGGUGCCCAAGGAAGCCAGAAGAGGACAUUGGCUCCCUGUAACUGGAGCUGUGGACAGUUGUGAGCUGCAGUGUGGAUGCUGGGAACUGAACCCUGUUCUCUGGAUGAGCUAUAAGUGCUCCUCCCCACGGAGCCACCGCUCUGUCUCUGGGAGCACUUCCUUUAACUCCUUGUUUAUCGUUGUCGUUAUCGAGUAUUAGGGAUUGAAGCUGGAUCCUCAUGUGUACCAGACCAAGAGCUGCUCCCUGAGCUCCAUCCCAGCUCUGUUUGUUUUCACUUCAAGACAGAGUCUCACUGUAUCACAGGCCAGCCUGGGGCUUGGUGUCUAUAGCCAAGUUGGACUUGAACUUUCCAUCCUCCUGCCUCAGCCUCCUGAAUAACUGGGAUAACAGACUUGUUCCAACAGACCUGGCAACUCAUUAUUUUCCUAAUAUUUUAAAUUACACGUGUUUUAUUUGUGUGUGUGUGUGUGUGUGUGUGUGUGUGUGUGUGUGUGUGUGUGUGUGUGUGUGAAGUAGGAGGUGGGAGGACAACUUACCCACUGAGCCAUCUCAACAGCUCCUGGGCACUUAUUUUUAAAGGAGACUGAGGCACAGAAAUGUUGAUCCUGUCUGGGGUCAGCAUUAAUGAAGUGGAAAUGUGUGCUUAGCAGGAAAGUGUAGGGAGCAAGGAAUGACUCCAGCUCUCAGAGCCGGAUGCUGCGGGGAGCACAUAUUUUUGGGACAAAGAGUUACAUUUUUAGCCAUCUAAAUUUUUCCCUUUUUGUGGGGGUGGAAGAAGCAAUUCUUCCAUUCUGGAAAUCCAUCUCAUUCUAGCUGCUGAAUGUUUGGAUUUUCAGACGACUAACUCUGAGCCCUCAAAUCUCAGGAAUUAACAAUAAGCAAUUCAUUUCCCAGUACUCUCUAAGAGCUGAGCGAAAGUUCUCUGAUGCUCUUCUUUUGAAAAGCUGAAAACCUUAGUUGUGGUCAUUUUGAUCCUCCAGAGAGAAAGCUGUUCCCAGUUGAAGGGUCUUCUGAACUGGUUUAUAUUUGGCUCAAACCGGCUCUGUCAUUUCCUUGUAGGAGGUGUCUUCAUAGACCAACUGUCCCCACUGAAAAUGAGUCGAGAAGUUGAAGCAGCCCAGAAUGCCACAGUGAUGCAGACAGAUUUCUCUUAGCUGUAGUGUUGUUUUGGUUUUCGUGUCUCCUCCAUGACUCACUGUUUGGGUGGAGGAAAAGACUGUUGGCAAUCUCCCAAGUGUCCUUUCCUGAGAGGGGUUCCUCACAAGGUGCUUCUCUUUAUGUGAGCCUUCCUGAAGGGCAUGGAGACACAGCAUCCCAGGUCACAGACGACCCUCAGCCACCUGAAGUCCUCUCUUCCUUUGGUAAUCUUCAUCCCAAUCUUUCUCCAUCUUUCCUUGUGAGACUUCUGUUAGUAAGGUGCUGGAUGUCUAGAAUUCUCCACGUCUCACUUUCUCCUGUCAUAUUUUAAAGUGCUUAUGUUCUCUACUUGGGGGAAUUUCUUCUUUUUCAAGUCUAUUUCUCUCUAUUGCAUUUUACAUUGGCUCAGUGGCUGGAAGCUUUUUCAUCACUAAGAAAGAAAUUGAAGCAAUUAUUCAGGAUUAUUUUACUCACCCCACAGCCCUGCCCUGUGCUGACCAUUGUGCCCAGGCCUUGGACAUAGAAUGCAGGCCCUCACCUUCCAUGCAGACCAUUCCCCACAGACCUUUGUUCUGAGUCUACAAUUGCAAUACUUAGUCCAUGAAUACCACUAGGGUUUGUUGUUUUAUUUUGGCUUAUAUUUGUAAUAAAACUAAGUUACUACUUUGAAAAAGCACUUUUGGGCAUCAGUUUUCACUUGCUUCAGCCCUUGUCUGUCACACUGUAAUCCCUUCAUCCUGCUUUCUUUUUUAGAUAUCUUUGUACCAAACCGUAGGUAUGCUACUUCAAAUGUAAGAUGAUAAAACCUCGUGGGGAUUUAAAUUAAAAUGUUAGUGGAGCAUGAGAGAGCUCCACAGUUGGAAGUUUCUUCUUCAAACAGUGAGAAAAUGAAAAGAUUCAUUUAAAUAAAUAAUCAGUUGUUAAAUAUGAGAUUCUAAGAGUUUUCAUGAUACAGAAAGACAUCUAUGACUUUUUAAAAAAGAUUUAUUUAUUUUUAUUUUAUGUCCAUGGCGUUUUGCUCGCAUGCAUGUAAGUGUGCAUGCCUGGUGCCCACGAGACCAGAAGAGACUGCCAGAUGCCUUGGAAAAGAGUCAUGGUGGUUGCCAGCCACCAUGUGGGUACUGGGAACUCAGCCCAGGUCCUUUGCAAGAGCCUUUCGUGUUCCAAACCGCUGAGGCGUUUCUUCAGCCUCUGUCUCUCUCAUGUUAAUGAGAAAUUACCAAGCCAAAUAGAAUACGAUUUGUUUUCAGAGAGUGUGCGUAUUCAUGUGCAAGUGGAAGGAAGUGUACACGAUGGGUAGUUUCCCACACUGGGAUGGUAACUUGUUGGCUGAGGUGAGGCACCAGGUACCAGCCAGUCUGCCCCAGUGCUUGUAGUAUUUCCCAACAACUUUCCUGGCUGGUGCUGUUGAUGGCUGUGGCUUUAGUCUUUUGUUUCAUUAGAGAUGCCAAAUAGUAUUUUAAAAGUUUUGAUUUUUUUCUUCUGUGUUUACUUUUCUUAUAUGAAGAAGGACAUUGAGGAUGAUAAAAUACUAAAUACUAAAAUACAGUCUAUAUGGGAAAGGCAGAUAAAUAAUUUAUUGUCCUGUAUUCAUUUUUAGGCUAGUAUCCAGUAUACAAGCAGGAUUCAAGGAUGGCUGUUGAGGCCUUUUUCUUGUUUUUACUUUGAAUAUCAUUAUGAAUCAAGCAUCAUUACGUAUUUGAAUUUCCAGCGUAUUGUAGUUACACUGUUUGAUAUCUCAUUCUGUAUCUGGACCCUAAUCUUUUAAGAAUCCCAUUCUGGUUCCUGUUUUCCAGAUGUCUGUGCAUAAUGCAGAUCAAUGGCUUAUUGUGUGUUAGAAAGUAAGCAGGCGGCACGUCUGAGCUCAUGGACUGCUGUCACAGCAGCAUCGGAGGGAAUGUGAAGUGCUUAAAGUAGAAAAGAGACAAGAUGUCAGAUGAGAGCCCUAGGCCACCACCUUAAGAAAUCGUAAAAGGAAGAGCGAGAUAGACUCCAGGAAACGAGACUGAUGAAGAGAUUCAGUAUUGCAGAGAACAUUAGAGAAGAAAGAGUCCGUGAAACCCACAGUUGGUCCUCUGUAAAGGGAAUGCAAAUAGCAUUUAGCAAGAUUAGUGAGGGCCUAACUUCUUCUGCACGCUCCUCUUUCUCUCUCCCUCUGCCUGCUGAAUAUCUAGAUGUCAUUACUGACCCUCAUGCGUGCCGCUGGUUAGUGCCGAAAUUCUUUCUGCUUUGAGUCCCGUGAAUCCAUGAGUUGAAGGCCGUAAAGGUCUGGGGGACUCCUCAGGCAUUUCCAGUGGGAAGCUAUGCCUCACUUUUGUCUCCCCAAAUGCUGAUAUCUUGGGGUCUUGUUUGGAAUCUGUCUGAAGCAUUGUUGACUCACUUGAUGAUAUUCCGGUGCCUGUGCUCAAACUGUAUCGUGUUAGUGUAGACAGACUGGACUUUUGGUCCUUGAGUAGAUAGGGCCAAUGACUGCUUAAUUGUAGAAAAUGGAGUGUUAGCCUUCUGAGACCCUAAGACUGAGAAUCCAGAGUCUCGAGGAGAAUUGAGGCAGGAUAGAAAGAUGGAAAAUUAUGGGAGACAUGGAGGGGAAGGAGUCCCUCACCCACCUGCUAAUCACGGACUCCCUAGGUGUCCUUCUCUAGGCUGCAGCAGCUGCUCCAGGAGGGACAGGUGCACAGUGGCACUCUCUUCCCCUUGGAAAGCAGCGAGCCUGACCCAUGCGUUUAGCCAUGUCUGCCCUCCUGAGUGCCCCCUUCUCUCAACUCCUGAGCUUCAGUCUGUGACAAAUACUCAGCCCCCAAGACGGACAAGAGGAAAUAGCCUGGCCAUACCAGGAACAAAAGGAAGGAUGCCACCACAGACGAGGUGUCUCUGAAAGGAUGGUACUAGGAGGCUUGCAAACAGUCUUCAACAGCGUAGUAUGAGCCCAGAGGACCUGGUCGGCCCUUGUACCAAAGAAGAAUCUCAUCUGGCGCAGCCCAGC
Rattus norvegicus (Norway rat) is the source of this 14049-nucleotide non-coding RNA. The record is from RefSeq and is a predicted model, not a curated record. Lineage: Eukaryota; Metazoa; Chordata; Mammalia; Rodentia; Muridae.